RNAcentral lists this ribosomal RNA (752 nucleotides) under uncultured bacterium. Its description in RNAcentral is "bacterial SSU rRNA". It matches the Rfam family "Bacterial small subunit ribosomal RNA", at positions 596 to 1352 of the family's 1533-position model. The record is from RNAcentral.
GAAAGACGGUAGCUCAACUAUCGCAGUGCCCUUGAUACUGAUGGGCUUGAAUUGACUAGAGGUAGGCGGAAUGUGACAAGUAGCGGUGAAAUGCAUAGAUAUGUCACAGAACACCGAUUGCGAAGGCAGCUUACUAUGGUCUUAUUGACGCUGAGGCACGAAAGCGUGGGGAUCAAACAGGAUUAGAUACCCUGGUAGUCCACGCCCUAAACGAUGAACACUCGCUGUUGGCGAUACACAGUCAGCGGCUAAGCGAAAGCGUUAAGUGUUCCACCUGGGGAGUACGCCCGCAAGGGUGAAACUCAAAGGAAUUGACGGGGGCCCGCACAAGCGGAGGAGCAUGUGGUUUAAUUCGAUGAUACGCGAGGAACCUUACCCGGGCUUGAAAGUUAGUGAAUGUUCCAGAGAUGGGACAGUCCGCAAGGACACGAAACUAGGUGCUGCAUGGCUGUCGUCAGCUCGUGCCGUGAGGUGUUGGGUUAAGUCCCGCAACGAGCGCAACCCCUAUGUCUAGUUGCCAGCACGUAACGGUGGGGACUCUAGACAGACUGCCUGUGCAAACAGAGAGGAAGGAGGGGACGACGUCAAGUCAUCAUGGCCCUUACGUCCGGGGCUACACACGUGCUACAAUGGAUGGUACAGAGGGCAGCGAGCCGGCAACGGCAAGCAAAUCUCAAAAAGCCAUUCACAGUUCGGAUUGGGGUCUGCAACUCGACCCCAUGAAGUUGGAUUCGCUAGUAAUCGCAUAUCAG